AACGAACGCUGGCGGCAUGCCUAACACAUGCAAGUCGAACGAUCCCUUCGGGGAUAGUGGCGCACGGGUGCGUAACGCGUGGGAACCUGCCCUUAGGUUCGGAAUAACUCAGAGAAAUUUGAGCUAAUACCGGAUAAUGUCUUCGGACCAAAGAUUUAUCGCCUUUGGAUGGGCCCGCGUUGGAUUAGCUAGUUGGUGGGGUAAAGGCCUACCAAGGCGACGAUCCAUAGCUGGUCUGAGAGGAUGAUCAGCCACACUGGGACUGAGACACGGCCCAGACUCCUACGGGAGGCAGCAGUGGGGAAUAUUGGAAAAUGGGCGAAAGCCUGAUCCAGCAAUGCCGCGUGAGUGAUGAAGGCCUUAGGGUUGUAAAGCUCUUUUACCCGGGAUGAUAAUGACAGUACCGGGAGAAUGAGCCCCGGCUAACUCCGUG
Molecule: ribosomal RNA, 433 nt
Filed under: uncultured bacterium
Lineage: Bacteria
Description: partial 16S ribosomal RNA
Rfam family: Bacterial small subunit ribosomal RNA
Source: RNAcentral